RNAcentral lists this long non-coding RNA (1132 nucleotides) under Calidris pugnax (ruff). RNAcentral describes it as "lncRNA (ENSCPUG00000012087.1)". The record is from RNAcentral. Lineage: Eukaryota; Metazoa; Chordata; Aves; Charadriiformes; Scolopacidae.
CAAGAAGCCACCAGAGAUGUCUCCAGAAGCCACCAGAGAUGUCCCCAAGGCCACCAGGGGGAUGUCCCUCCCAGGAGAAGCCGGGCCACCCAAGAUGGCUGCCUGGAAGCCACCAGAGAUGUUCCCCCCCCCCAAAGGUUCCUGGGCCACCAAGGACGUCCCCGUGGCCCUUGAGGAUGUCCCCACGUGUCCUGAGGCCACCCAAGGUGGCCUCCUGGUGACCUGGGCCAGCACGAGAUGUCCCCAGGUCACCAAGGUUGUCCCCACGGCCUCAAGUCCAUCAACGAUGAUGUUCCUCCCCCAACAACAAGAAGGUCCCAGCUCCAUCGGGGAUGUCCCCCAGGUCCAUCUCCGCUGUCCCCAAGAGGGUGACAAGGCCAGUGAGGGACACGCCAAGGUGCCAGCUCCAUCCACGACGUCCUUAAGAAGGUCCCAGGUCCAUCCAAGGACGUCCCAGGGCCAUCGAGAACAUCCCAAGCUCCAUCCAGAAGGUCCCAGGUCCAUCGAGAACAUCCCAAGCUCCAUCCAGAAGGUCCCAGGUCCAUUGAGAACAUCCCAAAGCUCCAUCCACGAUGGCCCCAGAAGAUCCCAGGUCCAUCCAGAAGAUCUCGGGUCCAUCCAGAAGAUCCCCAGAAGGUCCCAGGUCCAUCCAGAAGAUCUCGGGUCCAUCCAGAAGAUCCCCAGAAGGUCCCAGGUCCAUUGAGAACAUCCCAAAGCUCCAUCCAGGACAUCCCCAGAAGGUCCCAGGUCCAUCCAGAAGGUCCCAGGUCCAUCCAGAAGGUCGCUCCUCAGGCCCCACGGGGCCUCAACCCCCCAUCCCUCCCCAACAUCCCCAUCGAAUCCACGCCAUCCUGAUCCGUACUGGUCCGUACUGGGAGCACUGGUCUGUACUGGGAGCUCUAAUCUGUACUGGGAGCCCUGAUCCAUACUGGUCUGUACUGGGAGCUCUGAUCUAUACUGGUCUGUACUGGGAGCCCCGACCCGUACUGGUUUGUACUGGUCCAUACUGGUGGGAGACGCGGGAUCUUUCUGGAAAGUUUUUAAUCUAGAACCUGGAAAAUCCACGGGCGCGCGCUGGGGGCGGGGCCAGCGGCGCUGCCCCUCCCCCUUCCCCCCCAAACUCCCUCCCCCU